GGUUCGAGAUCCUCCUCUCUGGCUCCGGGUUGCGCGCAGUGUCUGGGUGGCGAGCGAAUGGUGCCUGCGAUCUUCUGCCUCGGGGACCCGGCUGUCUUCCUUGUGCUAAAAAAACGGAGGAAGUCUGUCUGCCCCAGGGCUGAGGGUGGUGUCCAAAGGGUCUCCUCUCCUUGAGUGACUCUGGUUCCUCCAUUGGAUCUCAGCUCAUAGCUCCUGACCUCAAGCAAGUGCUACUGAAGUGGAAAUGUCUUAAAUCCUGUUUUGUGAUUCCCCGCCUCAGAGCU
This 284-nucleotide long non-coding RNA is filed under the name Mus caroli (Ryukyu mouse). Its description in RNAcentral is "lncRNA (MGP_CAROLIEiJ_G0003751.1)". The record is from RNAcentral. Lineage: Eukaryota; Metazoa; Chordata; Mammalia; Rodentia; Muridae.